Molecule: ribosomal RNA, 253 nt
Filed under: uncultured bacterium
Lineage: Bacteria
Description: partial 16S ribosomal RNA
Rfam family: Bacterial small subunit ribosomal RNA
Source: RNAcentral
UACGUAGGGGGCAAGCGUUGUCCGGAAUUAUUGGGCGUAAAGCGCGCGCAGGCGGUUAGGUAAGUUUGGUGUUUAAUUCCGGGGGCUCAACCCCGGGUCGCACUGAAAACUGCUUGACUUGAGUGCGGGAGAGGAAAGUGGAAUUCCACGUGUAGCGGUGAAAUGCGUAGAGAUGUGGAGGAACACCAGUGGCGAAGGCGACUUGCCAGAACGCACUCGACGGUGAGGGAUGAAAGCUGGGGGAGCAAACCGG